Molecule: ribosomal RNA, 759 nt
Filed under: uncultured bacterium
Lineage: Bacteria
Description: bacterial SSU rRNA
Rfam family: Bacterial small subunit ribosomal RNA
Source: RNAcentral
GCGGCAGCGCGGGGGCAACCCUGGCGGCGAGCGGCGGACGGGUGAGGAAUUCGUCGGAAUCUGCCUUUUUGUGGGGGAUAACGUAGGGAAACUUACGCUAAUACCGCAUACGACCUACGGGUGAAAGUGGGGGACCUUCGGGCCUCACGCAGAAAGAUGAGCCGACGACCGAUUAGCUAGUUGGUGGGGUAAAGGCCCACCAAGGCGACGAUCGGUAGCUGGUCUGAGAGGAUGAUCAGCCACACUGGGACUGAGACACGGCCCAGACUCCUACGGGAGGCAGCAGUGGGGAAUAUUGGACAAUGGGGGCAACCCUGAUCCAGCCAUGCCGCGUGUGUGAAGAAGGCCUUCGGGUUGUAAAGCACUUUUGUCCGGAAAGAAAUCUUCCAGUUUAAUACGCUGGGAGGAUGACGGUACCGGAAGAAUAAGCACCGGCUAACUUCGUGCCAGCAGCCGCGGUAAUACGAAGGGUGCAAGCGUUACUCGGAAUUACUGGGCGUAAAGCGUGCGUAGGCGGUUUGUUAAGUCUGAUGUGAAAUCCCCGGGCUCAACCUGGGACGUGCAUUGGAAACUGGCGAUCUAGAGUACGGUAGAGGGUGGUGGAAUUCCCGGUGUAGCAGUGGAAUGCGUAGAGAUCGGGAGGAACACUCGUGGCGAAGGCGGCCACCUGGACCAGUACUGACGCUGAGGCACGAAAGCGUGGGGAGCAAACAGGAUUAGAUACCCUGAUAGUCCACGCCCUAAACGAUGCGAACUGGA